This 73-nucleotide transfer RNA is filed under the name Paenibacillus taihuensis. RNAcentral describes it as "tRNA-Gln". It matches the Rfam family "tRNA". Rfam says of the family: Transfer RNA (tRNA) molecules are approximately 80 nucleotides in length. Their secondary structure includes four short double-helical elements and three loops (D, anti-codon, and T loops). The record is from RNAcentral. RNAcentral also lists the same sequence under 3 other names. Lineage: Bacteria; Bacillati; Bacillota; Bacilli; Caryophanales; Paenibacillaceae.
UGGGGAUUAGCCAAGCGGUAAGGCAACGGACUUUGACUCCGUCAUUCCCUAGGUUCGAAUCCUAGAUCCCCAG